Molecule: long non-coding RNA, 352 nt
Filed under: Elaeis guineensis (African oil palm)
Lineage: Eukaryota; Viridiplantae; Streptophyta; Magnoliopsida; Arecales; Arecaceae
Description: long non-coding RNA (EGUI_LNC053744)
Source: RNAcentral
GAUCAAUUCCGAUCGCCGGCGCUGGAAACUUCAAGGAAAAGAGACCCAAAAACAGAGGUCCCUUUUCCGACCGAAAAUCGACAAUUUUUGUCGCCGGCAGCCGCACACAAUUGCACGGGGAGGAAGAAGAAGAAAGAGGAGAAGAAGAGGGGAAACUUACCUUAACCUCCGGUGACCUCGCCGGCGAGAAAACACGGCGAGAACCCGAACGAUAUCCGCGGCUUCGAUUUGAGAAAAAUGGAGAGAAAGAGAGAGGGAGGAGGUCGAUCUUCAGUCUAAAGGGGAAGGGGUCUUCUUAUAGAGAGUCCUAGGACUCCGAAGGGUCCUAGGAUUCCUGAUUCGCUUGGGUUUC